This 430-nucleotide ribosomal RNA is filed under the name actinobacterium SCGC AAA044-L23. RNAcentral's name for it is "bacterial SSU rRNA". It matches the Rfam family "Bacterial small subunit ribosomal RNA", at positions 349 to 791 of the family's 1533-position model. The record is from RNAcentral. Lineage: Bacteria; Bacillati; Actinomycetota; Actinomycetes.
CACCAGUGGGGAAUAUUGGGCAAUGGAGGGAACUCUGACCCAGCGACGCCGCGUGCGGGAUGAAGGCCUUCGGGUUGUAAACCGCUUUCAGCAAGGAAGAAGCGAAAGUGACGGUACUUGCAGAAGAAGCACCGGCUAACUAUGUGCCAGCAGCCGCGGUAAUACAUAGGGUGCAAGCGUUGUCCGGAAUUAUUGGGCGUAAAGAGCUCGUAGGUGGUUCGUCACGUCGGAUGUGAAAAUCUGGGGCUUAACCCCAGACCUGCAUUCGAUACGGGCGAGCUAGAGUGUGGUAGGGGAGACUGGAAUUCCUGGUGUAGCGGUGGAAUGCGCAGAUAUCAGGAGGAACACCAAUGGCGAAGGCAGGUCUCUGGGCCAUUACUGACACUGAGGAGCGAAAGCGUGGGGAGCGAACAGGAUUAGAUACCCCCGU